Molecule: ribosomal RNA, 155 nt
Filed under: uncultured bacterium
Lineage: Bacteria
Description: partial 16S ribosomal RNA
Rfam family: Bacterial small subunit ribosomal RNA
Source: RNAcentral
UAAGGAAUAUUGGUCAAUGGGCGAGAGCCUGAACCAGCCAUGCCGCGUGCAGGAAGACGGCCUUAUGGGUUGUAAACUGCUUUUGUCGGGGAAUAAACCUAUCUACGUGUAGAUAGCUGAAGGUACCCGAAGAAUAAGCAUCGGCUAACUCCGUG